CAGCCUGAAGUGAUGAUUCACAUUCAUGUCUCUUCUCUGGUAAAUCUCUUGAAGAAAAUUCUGUGUAUCUGAUCAGGCCU
Molecule: small nucleolar RNA, 80 nt
Organism: Ailuropoda melanoleuca (giant panda)
Lineage: Eukaryota; Metazoa; Chordata; Mammalia; Carnivora; Ursidae
Product: small nucleolar RNA, C/D box 111B
Source: Ensembl